CACCAAGUUAUAAACCCUUGUUCAUUCACCAACAUGGUACGGACUUAUGUAGAGGCUUGAUUGCUAUCAAGAUGCAUAGUAAUUGCCUGACUCAUAAUUAAAGGAGAAAGAAUGAGAAACAUAUGUACCAAUAUUGGGCAUAUAUUUUGCAUAUGGCCAUGAAAGGUUCAAGGGAGGCAAAAAAUGGAAAGUGAAAAUAUCAUAAUGGAUGUUGAAAGUAGAAUAAAUUUCGUACACAUGG
This 241-nucleotide long non-coding RNA is filed under the name Elaeis guineensis (African oil palm). RNAcentral describes it as "long non-coding RNA (EGUI_LNC036755)". Lineage: Eukaryota; Viridiplantae; Streptophyta; Magnoliopsida; Arecales; Arecaceae. The record is from RNAcentral.